GUCGCCGGCACCUCAUCUUGAAGCCUCCCCACCGUCUGGAUUGCCGGAAAAAUGCGUCCAAACCUUCCUUCAAGCGCAGCUUGACGCUUCAUGUUCCCAGUCAAAAUUCGAUCGAUCCGGCCACCAAUUAGACCGAGUCUAGUCUUAAUCACCUUCUACACUUCGAAAGCUUUCCAAAGACACCAAGAAUACGAAUUUUCAUCGAGCGGUUUAUCCGAAUCGAGCUUGAAA
RNAcentral lists this unclassified non-coding RNA (231 nucleotides) under Hevea brasiliensis (rubber tree). Lineage: Eukaryota; Viridiplantae; Streptophyta; Magnoliopsida; Malpighiales; Euphorbiaceae. The record is from RNAcentral.